CCGAGAGCUGAGAGCAGCCACCUGGAGGCGAUUCAGGCGGCCGCGCCGGCGGCUGCGGGGACCUCGCGCCUGGCCACGCCCUCUUCCGCCUGCGGCAAGAAGUCAGGGCGGGGCAAGGCCUGCGUGCGUGUGACGUGACUCUAUUCCCGCUGACGUCAGCCUGCACGCGGCGGACACAACACCGGAGGCCACGCCCAUCCCACCAGCGGGGCGGAGUCCCACUGCAGCUCACGUUAUGGGUGAGGAUGCUGAGGCCCAGGGCAGGAGGUGAGGAUGCAUACUAGUAAAACAAGAUCCCUGAUUUCA
Molecule: long non-coding RNA, 306 nt
Organism: Eptesicus fuscus (big brown bat)
Lineage: Eukaryota; Metazoa; Chordata; Mammalia; Chiroptera; Vespertilionidae
Exons: 2
Source: RefSeq, a predicted model, not a curated record